Long non-coding RNA from Sardina pilchardus (European sardine), 357 nucleotides. RefSeq lists it as uncharacterized. The transcript has 3 exons. The record is from RefSeq and is a predicted model, not a curated record. Lineage: Eukaryota; Metazoa; Chordata; Actinopteri; Clupeiformes; Clupeidae.
CCUGUUUGAUUCUUCUGCUGGAGCGAGACCUGAUGCCGUUAGAAUCCUCAUUGUCCUCACAGAUGGGCAGUCUGGGGAUGCUUCAAGCUAUCCCAGUGUCACGGCACAGGCUGAUAGCAAGAACAUUACUAGAUACGCUAUUGGGAUUGGAAGUGCCUUUAGCAGUCAGUCAGCCCAAGAUGAGCUCAGGAGUAUCGCAUCUUCACCAGAAUCAGACUUUGUGUUUAGAGUGGACAACUUUGAGGCACUGGACAACAUCAGCAGCAGACUGGAGAAGAGCAUCAUGGUCAUAGAAGGGGUGGUCCCUACAACUUGUUCACCCCCUACACCUGAGCCACCAAUCCCUACAAGCCAAGG